Molecule: transfer RNA, 93 nt
Rfam family: tRNA
About the family: Transfer RNA (tRNA) molecules are approximately 80 nucleotides in length. Their secondary structure includes four short double-helical elements and three loops (D, anti-codon, and T loops).
GGAGAGUUGUCCGAGCUGGCCGAAGGAGCACGAUUGGAAAUCGUGUUGUGGGUGAAAACUUACACGAGGGUUCAAAUCCCUCACUCUCCGCCA